UUUUCCUACUGCAGACCUGAGCACGACAGAAUUCACCUCGAGCCCCCAGUCGCCUCAGACGCCGGGCACCAGCGGGAACUUCCCCGCCCCGCGACGCCCGCGGCGAAAAGCAUCCCACGCGGACACUGCGCCCUAGCGAGGGGACGCGGGCCGCCCUGGCGCAGCCUCCCUUUCCCCGGGGGCGCAACCUCCCCCGGGGGUGCCUCUCCCCUCUGCGCAGCGCAGGGCACCCCGCGCGGACACGGCGCUCUCCCGAAGGGGACCCGGGGGCCGUCCCGGGAGCAGCCUUCCCUCCCUAGGGCGCAGCGCAUCCGGAGCAGAAACAGCACCCCCGGGGAGGGGACAGGGUUGUCCCCGGGGGCGCAGGCUCCCCUCCAUCCCGGGUUCGGUGUACACGCGCCGGGGCGCAGCUUCACUCUGGGAACGCAGCCUCCCUCCAUCCCGCGGCGCGGCGCGGCGCAGCGCAGCGCAUCCCGCGCUUAUGCGGCGCCCGGGGAGGAGACGCGGGGCCGUCCUAGGCGAAGCCUCCCCUGGCGGGCGGCCGCGGCCCCUCCGGACAGGGCUCGGGGCAGCACGGGUCCCGCUCGAGCCGCACGCCCGGCGCGGCCUCACCACCUGCCCGGCGGCGCUUACAUAAACGCGGUCGCGGCGCUGCCCAGCGCUGCCCGGCAGCGUGGUCGGGCCGUGGUGUCCGCCCGCGGUGUCCGAGCCCCGCCGUCCCCCCCAGACCCCGCCGCCCUGCCGCCCCCGCCAGCGCGCCUCACCUCAGCCGCGGGCCGCUCAGCUCCGCGCAGCUCAACGCCUGGGCUCGGACAGCGAGUCCGCGGGACUCUGCUCGGGCGCCGGGGGCUGCGGCGCGCUGGCCGUGGCCUGGCGCGGCCCCGAGCGCGCUCCCGAGCGCGCCCCCGAGCGCGGCCAGACCGGCCGCCGCCUCAGCCGUCGCCUCAGCCUUUGCCUCAGCCUCCGCCCUCCGCCCCCAGCAUCGGCUCCGCCCUCCCACCGCCCCCGCCGCCGGCCGCGCGCACGCCGGGGAGCGACGCCAAGACGCAGGAGGGCGCGCGCACGCAUGCCCCGCAGAACCCUGCCGGUAGUACGCGGAGGAUCGGGAGGACGCGGCGCCAGGGUGGGGAUGGGCUCCGGGGACCCGGGUGGGACGCGAGAAGCGGAAAACCCGGCGGGGCCCGCACCACGACACCCCGCCCUAAAGCAUGA
This 1212-nucleotide long non-coding RNA is filed under the name Bos grunniens (domestic yak). Its description in RNAcentral is "lncRNA (ENSBGRG00000000261.1)". Lineage: Eukaryota; Metazoa; Chordata; Mammalia; Artiodactyla; Bovidae. The record is from RNAcentral.